Molecule: ribosomal RNA, 253 nt
Filed under: uncultured bacterium
Lineage: Bacteria
Description: partial 16S ribosomal RNA
Rfam family: Bacterial small subunit ribosomal RNA
Source: RNAcentral
GACGAACCUUGCUAACGUUAUUCGGAAUUACUGGGCUUAAAGGGUGCGUAGGCGGUGCAGAAAGUUGGGUGUGAAAGCCCUCGGCUCAACCGAGGAAUUGCGCCCAAAACUGCUGCACUAGAGGAAGACAGAGGUACGCGGAACUUAGGGUGGAGCGGUGAAAUGCGUUGAUAUCGAGAAGAACACUUAGGGCGUAGGCAAGACUCUGGACAAAUGCUGACGCUCAUGCACGAAGGCUAGGGUAGCGAACGGG